This 73-nucleotide transfer RNA is filed under the name Schizocladia ischiensis. RNAcentral's name for it is "tRNA-Lys". It matches the Rfam family "tRNA". Rfam says of the family: Transfer RNA (tRNA) molecules are approximately 80 nucleotides in length. Their secondary structure includes four short double-helical elements and three loops (D, anti-codon, and T loops). The record is from RNAcentral. Lineage: Eukaryota; Schizocladiophyceae; Schizocladiales; Schizocladiaceae.
GGGUGUAUAGCUCAGUUGGUAGAGCAUUGGACUUUUAAUCCAGUGGCCUUGGGUUCAAGUCCCAAUGCACCCA